This 66-nucleotide transfer RNA is filed under the name Cicadellidae gen. sp. 1 JCX-2018. Its description in RNAcentral is "tRNA-Gly". The record is from RNAcentral. Lineage: Eukaryota; Metazoa; Arthropoda; Insecta; Hemiptera; Cicadellidae.
AUCUAAAUAGUAUAAAAAGUAUUUUAAGCUUCCAACUUAAAGGUUAAUAUUAUAAUUAAUUAGAUA